UUAGGGUUCCGCCAUAUCAGCGACGGUUUGAGAUGUCGCCUUACGAAGGGUAAUGGUUGUGAGCUCCUGAAAUGAAUCGACAUCUACAUGUCUCAGAUCUGGUCAGAUCAUCAAUCUCUAAGACCAAUCCGACGAUUAGAUAUAUUUUUGUACAUUAGAAUGAGGAUAUAAUGUUGUGAUACGUACACCAACAGGUGAUAUGUCACAAGUGGGCAGAAGUUCUAUUUGCAGAUGCUUUUUCAUCAUUUUUGAGGAUGCUGGGUUAAAUGCUGAUAAG
Helianthus annuus (common sunflower) is the source of this 277-nucleotide long non-coding RNA. RefSeq lists it as uncharacterized. The record is from RefSeq and is a predicted model, not a curated record. The transcript has 3 exons. Lineage: Eukaryota; Viridiplantae; Streptophyta; Magnoliopsida; Asterales; Asteraceae.